Molecule: ribosomal RNA, 121 nt
Filed under: Gossypium raimondii (Peruvian cotton)
Lineage: Eukaryota; Viridiplantae; Streptophyta; Magnoliopsida; Malvales; Malvaceae
Source: RNAcentral
GGUUGCGAUCAUACUCAGCACUAACGCACUGGAUCCCAUCAGAACUCCGCAGUUAAGCGUCCCUGGGCGAGAGUAGUACUAGGAUGGGUGACCUCCUGGGAAGUCCUUCGUGUUGCACCCC